CCGUCGACUGUAGGGGGCGCGCUGAUGUUGGAACGUUUGUAUAACGGAAAUAGGAAUACGUUGUACUGUACUUACUUCCGGUUGCGGAUCCUGCGCAUGAAAUACGAGUGUUAGCCGUUUAGGCUUCCAGGUGACUUCAUCUGACUGAUUAAUAUGAAACACAUCCUACUGCAGGGCCACGAACGGUCCACCACUCAGAUGAAGUUCGACGGAGAAGGAGACCUGUUUUCCGUCGCCAAAGAUCCAGUGGCCAAUGUGUGGAACGACUCGGUACCUACAGCGGACACAUAGGAGCUGUACAGUGCGUCGACUGUGACUGGGGACACCAAAAAUGUCUUGACAGGAUCAGCCGACAACAGCUGUCAACUGUGGGACUGCGAGACCGCAGGUUGAAAAGAAAAUGCCUGUGUUUACAUAGAUAGAAGUUUCUGAAUCCCUCGGGAGUUCCAGCAGCAGUACAGCAUCAAUAAAAAUGCACAAAUAGGUAAAAUGCAAACAUGAGUAGCAGCACACUGUCAAUGAAUAUGGGACAUCUGAACAGUGGAUGUUAGUAGAUGAGUCUGUUAGUCGAAGUAGAUAGAGUAGUGUUAUUAGUAUGAGUACAUAAUUAUUGUUGCCAUGUGUGGUGUAAUGUGGUGCAAUCUCAAUUAUUAUAUGUUAUAUUUUUGUUAUUCUAAAUUAAAUUAUGUGUAUGUAUAGCAAAGUACACAUUAUACACAUACUGUAUACCUAUGAUAGGUAUAUAUAAGCAGCACUAGUAUAAUUAUAAGGAUGUUAUGUGAACAAGUAUAUAAAAUAAAUAUAUAAUAUAUGAAAUACUGGAUAUGCACAGUGUAAAUAGUUGAGUAAUGAAAUUAAAUAAACUGUAAGCUAUAUAAGUGGUUCCAGCAGACAUAUUAGUAGACAUAGUGUUUAAAUGUAUUUUGGUGUUUAAUUUUAUGUAAAUAUAAUGAAUAUAUGUACGGGUAUUAAAUGAUUGUACCGACCUUCA
Molecule: long non-coding RNA, 991 nt
Organism: Cynoglossus semilaevis (tongue sole)
Lineage: Eukaryota; Metazoa; Chordata; Actinopteri; Pleuronectiformes; Cynoglossidae
Exons: 4
Source: RefSeq, a predicted model, not a curated record